UAGAGUUUUGAUCAUGGCUCAGAUUGAACGCUGGCGGCAGGCCUAACACAUGCAAGUCGAGCGGUAACAGGAAGAAGCUUGCUUCUUUGCUGACGAGCGGCGGACGGGUGAGUAAUACUUGGGAACUUGCCUCUAGGCGGGGGACAACCACUGGAAACGGUGGCUAAUACCGCAUAAUGUCUACGGACCAAAGUGGGGGACCUUCGGGCCUCACACCUAGAGAUGGGCCCAAGCGGGAUUAGCUAGUUGGUGAGGUAACGGCUCACCAAGGCGACGAUCCCUAGCUGUUCUGAGAGGAUGAUCAGCCACACUGGGACUGAGACACGGCCCAGACUCCUACGGGAGGCAGCAGUGGGGAAUAUUGGACAAUGGGGGCAACCCUGAUCCAGCCAUGCCGCGUGUGUGAAGAAGGCCUUCGGGUUGUAAAGCACUUUCAGUGGUGAGGAAAGGGUAAUCGUUAAUAGCGGUUACA
Molecule: ribosomal RNA, 472 nt
Filed under: gamma proteobacterium C936
Lineage: Bacteria; Pseudomonadati; Pseudomonadota; Gammaproteobacteria
Description: bacterial SSU rRNA
Rfam family: Bacterial small subunit ribosomal RNA
Source: RNAcentral